Molecule: transfer RNA, 72 nt
Filed under: Ovis aries (sheep)
Lineage: Eukaryota; Metazoa; Chordata; Mammalia; Artiodactyla; Bovidae
Rfam family: tRNA
About the family: Transfer RNA (tRNA) molecules are approximately 80 nucleotides in length. Their secondary structure includes four short double-helical elements and three loops (D, anti-codon, and T loops).
Source: Rfam by way of RNAcentral
UCCCUAGUGGUUCAAAUGGUUAAGAAUCUGCCUGCAAAGCAGAAGACCCAGGUUCAAUCCCUGGCUUGGGAA